AUAAGACCGGGACAACCCUUGGAAACGAGGGCUAAUACCGGAUAACUUUCUACUUUGGCAUCGGAGAAGAAAGAAAGGUGGCCUCUGAAUAUGCUACCGUUUAUGGAUGGAUCCGCGUCUGAUUAGCUAGUUGGUGGGGUAAAGGCCUACCAAGGCGACGAUCAGUAGCCGGCCUGAGAGGGUGAACGGCCACACUGGGACUGAGACACGGCCCAGACUCCUACGGGAGGCAGCAGUGGGGAAUCUU
RNAcentral lists this ribosomal RNA (247 nucleotides) under bacterium enrichment culture clone 27. RNAcentral's name for it is "partial 16S ribosomal RNA". It matches the Rfam family "Bacterial small subunit ribosomal RNA", at positions 132 to 365 of the family's 1533-position model. The record is from RNAcentral.